Molecule: ribosomal RNA, 460 nt
Filed under: uncultured bacterium
Lineage: Bacteria
Description: partial 16S ribosomal RNA
Rfam family: Bacterial small subunit ribosomal RNA
Source: RNAcentral
CCUACGGGAGGCAGCAGUGAGGAAUAUUGGUCAAUGGGCGCGAGCCUGAACCAGCCAAGUCGCGUGAGGGAGGACGGCCCUACGGGUUGUAAACCUCUUUUGCCGGGGAGCAACGGGCGGCACGUGUGGCGCCACUGAGAGUACCCGGAGAAAAAGCAUCGGCUAACUCCGUCCCAGCAGCCGCGGUAAUCCGGGGGUUGGGAGCUUUAUCCGGAUUUUUGGGGUUUAAGGGGUGCGAAGGCGGAUCGUUAAGUCAGUGGUCAAAUUGGGGGGUCAAACCCCUUCCCGCCAUUGAAACUGGCGCUCUUGAGUGGAAGAGAAGUAUGCGGAAUGCGUGGUGUAGCGGUGAAAUGCAUAGAUAUCACGCAGAACCCCGAUUGCGAAGGCAGCAUGCCGGCUUCCGACUGACGCUGAAGCACGAAAGCGUGGGGAUCGAACAGGAUUAGAUACCCGGGUAGUC